AUUGAACGCUGGCGGCAUGCCUAAUACAUGCAAGUCGAGCGGAUGAAGGGGGCUCUCUCCUGGAUUCAGUGGCGGACGGGCGGGUAAUGCAUAGGAAGCUGCCCGGCCUUUGGGGAUAAGGUCAGGUAAGGGGACCUAAGACAGUACACGAUCAGAGGUUGAAAGUGGGGGAUCAUCGGUGAACACGCUAUCUGAUGAGCCUAGGUCGGAUUAGCUAGUUGGUGGGGUAAAGGCCUACCAAGGCGACGAUCCGUAGCUGGUCUGAGAGGAUGAUCAGUCACACUGGAACUGAGACACGGUCCAGACUCCUACGGGAGGCAGCAGUGGGGAAUAUUGGACAAUGGGCGAAAGCCUGACCCAGCCAUGCCGCGUGUGUGAAGAAGGUCUUCGGAUUGUAAAGCACUUUAAGUUGGGAGGAAGGGCAGUAAGUUAAUACCUUGCUGUUUUGACGUUACCAACAGAAUAAGCCCCGGCUAACUUCGUG
RNAcentral lists this ribosomal RNA (484 nucleotides) under uncultured bacterium. RNAcentral describes it as "partial 16S ribosomal RNA". It matches the Rfam family "Bacterial small subunit ribosomal RNA", at positions 30 to 507 of the family's 1533-position model. The record is from RNAcentral.